Molecule: ribosomal RNA, 515 nt
Filed under: uncultured bacterium
Lineage: Bacteria
Description: bacterial SSU rRNA
Rfam family: Bacterial small subunit ribosomal RNA
Source: RNAcentral
GACGAACGCUGGCGGCGUGCCUAAUACAUGCAAGUCGAGCGGACAGAUGGGAGCUUGCUCCCUGAAGUUAGCGGCGGACGGGUGAGUAACACGUGGGCAACCUGCCCUGCAGAUGGGGAUAACUCCGGGAAACCGGGGCUAAUACCGAAUAAUCAGUUUCUCCGCAUGGAGAAACUCUGAAAGACGGUUUCGGCUGUCACUGCAGGAUGGGCCCGCGGCGCAUUAGCUAGUUGGUGGGAUAACGGCCUACCAAGGCAACGAUGCGUAGCCGACCUGAGAGGGUGAUCGGCCACACUGGGACUGAGACACGGCCCAGACUCCUACGGGAGGCAGCAGUAGGGAAUCUUCCACAAUGGACGAAAGUCUGAUGGAGCAACGCCGCGUGAGUGAAGAAGGUUUUCGGAUCGUAAAGCUCUGUUGUGAGGGAAGAACACGUACGGGAGUCACUGCCCGUACCUUGACGGUACCUCAUUAGAAAGCCACGGCUAACUACGUGCCAGCCGCCGCAGUAAAAC